RNAcentral lists this ribosomal RNA (465 nucleotides) under Vreelandella stevensii. Its description in RNAcentral is "partial 16S ribosomal RNA". It matches the Rfam family "Bacterial small subunit ribosomal RNA", at positions 338 to 795 of the family's 1533-position model. Lineage: Bacteria; Pseudomonadati; Pseudomonadota; Gammaproteobacteria; Oceanospirillales; Halomonadaceae. The record is from RNAcentral.
CCUACGGGGGGCUGCAGUGGGGAAUAUUGGACAAUGGGGGCAACCCUGAUCCAGCCAUGCCGCGUGUGUGAAGAAGGCCCUCGGGUUGUAAAGCACCUUCAGUGAGGAAGAACGCCUGGUGGUUAAUACCCAUCAGGAAAGACAUCACUCACAGAAGAAGCACCGGCUAACUCCGUGCCAGCAGCCGCGGUAAUACGGAGGGUGCGAGCGUUAAUCGGAAUUACUGGGCGUAAAGCGCGCGUAGGUGGCUUGAUAAGCCGGUUGUGAAAGCCCCGGGCUCAACCUGGGAACGGCAUCCGGAACUGUCAAGCUAGAGUGCAGGAGAGGAAGGUAGAAUUCCCGGUGUAGCGGUGAAAUGCGUAGAGAUCGGGAGGAAUACCAGUGGCGAAGGCGGCCUUCUGGACUGACACUGACACUGAGGUGCGAAAGCGUGGGUAGCAAACAGGAUUAGAUACCCUAGUAGUC